Long non-coding RNA from Bombus huntii, 5518 nucleotides. RefSeq lists it as uncharacterized. The transcript is spliced from 3 exons. Lineage: Eukaryota; Metazoa; Arthropoda; Insecta; Hymenoptera; Apidae. The record is from RefSeq and is a predicted model, not a curated record.
UAUGUGUAUAUGUUCGUAAAACUCUGUGUCCAACAUGUUGGUAUUAUUCCUAACGCAUGUUAUAGGUGUUUUACGCAUCGAUCAUUCGAUUGGUUCGAGCAUAUGACAUAUUCUAUAAAUAUGAAAAAUAAGCAGUUGUAGAUACCGAUUUUAAUGAAAUUAAACAUUUUUCAUAUAUUCCUGUAUUUUGACGUAAAAAUUGUCGCAGGAGUAAGUUCAUAACGUCUUUCAAAUACACUAUAAGCCAUGGUACAAUAUUUUGAAAAAACUGACUUCUUAAAAUUAGAUAAAUCUUAUGCCUGCCUCAAUUGUAUUCCCUUCAGAAAUUUAUAAAAUAAUACCUUCAUACAGGAUAAUGAAAGCACAAUGUCUCAUUCUAACGAGCGUUCAGUUCUCUGGAGAACGACCGUCAUUGAAAAAUCCUCGCGAGUUCUCGGACAAACUACAAAUUCGGGUUAAAAGUUACCGUAUCGACGAGCGGAACGUGCAAUUCGAAAUGCGCGAAAAACCGCACGAACGAGACCGUUGCAGAAGGGAUGUGUAAAACGCUCGCAUCGAAUUUACGAGUUUCCAAUUUUAAAGCAAUCGACGAGCGGAGAGCUGCUGCGAAUCAGAAACUCACGGCUCUUCUAGUUCCUCCAUUAUGAAACUUUGUAGCGUUGCCGCGCAGCCGGAAACCGUGGAACAUCAUCCUUUGAAAUUUUCGCGCGUAACGUAAGUACAAGCGCGUGCUUAGUAGUCUUGUUUCACCUACGUUCGUGAUUAGUGUUGAACAUUUCAGAGGAAUAUAUUAUUUAGUUCCCUAGGUUUAUUGGUCAGGUUUACAGUGAAUGAUGUAAGAAAUUAUAGAAUUCAAGAUAUUUUAUAAAGAAUAAUAUUUGUAACGUAACUAUGACACUCUUUUAUAAGCUUUGCACCCCGUCGUACUUUUACGUCGUACGGCAAUUUAAAAUCUGCUGUAUCCUAAUUAAAAUAAAAAUAGUUAUCUCAAUUUUAUAUAGUCCGUUUCAUAAUAAAAUAAAUUUAGGUGUAACAUGUAAAGUCUACUACAUCUUAUUCUCUCCGUAUCGAACCCAACAAUCAAUGUUCCCAUUAUCGUCAACGUUCCACUAGUUCAUAGUAUCGUUCGCGUCGUAGCGGAUUUUAAAACCUUCCCAUCCUUUAAAUCUUCUCGGUGUUUUCCUUUGCGCGAUUCGCUUUUAUUUCCCUUCGUUGCCACCCUUUCUGUCGGUUUCUCCCCCCGAUCCCACGCCUUGAAACGAACGACUUUUCCGCGGAGUCGAUCGUUUCCAUUCCGGAAUUUCUCAUCAAGGUUUCGCGCCGCCGCCGCGUAGCUAGCGGCUGAUUUGCUCGCCCAGGCUCCGCUCGUAAUGAGUUCCGCGCUUUGUGACUGCUCGCCGCUCGCGCCUUUUGUUCGCCAUAAUAAAAGGACUCGGCGUUGCCGACUUCAAUUAGGCUGCAGGUCGAAAGUCGCGCUCAGAAGUAUCGGCACGGUGUGAAGAACAUCGACAAUUACGUUCGACUUCGGUUGACGAAGCGAAGUCGGUUCGAUUGCGCUUGUUCAACCGGUAGCAGUCGCUUGUGGUAACCUGUUCGUCGAUCGAGAUGAAUCGUUCCGCGAAACUACUCCGUUGCAGACACGUUUUUACUUCUCAGGUGUAAUAAUUUCAUUCUGUAACUUGGUUCUUUUGAAGUUCCUGGCUAAAGCUAAUUCUCGAUACUUCAACGAUCCUUCAACAAUUCGUGGCUCGAUAAUAAUUUAUGACUUUUCUCUCAACUUUCCAACGAUUUCCAACGAUUCACAUUAGACUUGAACUAAUCGCACAUACAUACGUAUAUAUUUUUUAUGUGCAACCAGAUCUCCACGUAUACAUAGAGAUUUCUUCUUCUCCCGUCAUAGCACGAACAUCCGCUUGGCUUUCGAUUACGUAUUUGUCAUCCAUGCUAAUUAUCACUCACAAAAUCUGGAGUUCUUCUUAUUCUUCUUAUUAUGCUUGAAAUGUGGUAGCAUAAAUUGUAACUUGACGAGAUACGGAGUUAAUUUUUAAAAUAUUGGAAAUAUGUCACAUUAUGGGAUUGGAUUUCUGGCAUGGUAUUAUUACAUUAUUACUAACUCGAUGGAAUUCACAGAUUUGGACCCUAAUUUAUGUUUAUUUCAUUACUAGAUAUCUAACCUGUUGAUAGGCAUAUAUAGUAGAGUACAUAAUUGAGCUUUCCGAUGCUUAUCUAUAUCUGAAUAUAUAUAUGAUGAAUAAUUAAUCAAAAAUUUGUUGUAAAUACAUUACGUGUAUAAUAUAAAUCCUGAAACAGAUACCGAAAUUUGUAUAAACGAUAAUUCUCUAACAUUUAUACAUGGUACCUAAAAUCUGUCUCUUUGUUAUUUAUAUUUAUAUAGUCGUAUGAACUGCGAGGUCAGGUUCCUGAAAUUGACACCGUCACAUUCGAUCAUUCUUACCUCGUUCGACGAUAAUUAGCGGCACACACGAUGCAACAUUUUCGCGGAAAUUAGGCGACGAUUCGAAGCGGAUCGUCGUUGCUCGUUAGCCAACAGGAUUUUCCCGAAAAUUUCGAACAGUGACGCGUCUUCGUGGUGAAAUAUCCGCGGAUUACGCGACUAAUAUACGUCAGCGGGUUCAUCCUCCGCAGAAUUAUGAUGAAGAUGAAUUCAUUGUCUGUCCUCGCGCGGAUUGAAGUAGGUACACGUAAUUCAUCAACGUAAUUGAGCGCUGCUCGCGAGUUUAGCGACGGCGAAAGAGAGCGUAGUCUCUCUUUCCUCCCGCGAGCCAUUUCGUAAUGGCCCGUUAAUUUCAGCCCUUUUGUUUUCACAGACUUUGCUGCCAACUUUCUUCCGCGUGGAUACGCCGCGCGCGGCUUUCUUUGCCUUUCAACGCACGACACUGACCAUCCCUGUGUCUCUUGAAAAAUUCAACGAAUCCAGUAGAACGAUCCUGGCUCACGGUUAAUUGGCCUCCGACACUCCAUUUCGCAAAUUGCAAAAAGCAAUGCCAGGAUACUGUUGUACGUAGGUGCUGGCGUCGAGUGGCUGCAGCUUGUUACUGGAAAAUCGCUGGGACGGACGAAAGGAAUUCGAACGAUGGACGCGCUUACGCGUGUGACCAAGUGCAUCGUGCAGGGAAUCAGAAAUUAAGUCUGCUGGCAUGGCUGAUGUUGAACAAUUGUUAGUUUCGCCCCGUUCGUAUUAGCUGAGAUCGCUUUGACAAGAUGGUCGUCUGCGAGUCAAAUUAUUGAUUAAAUCGAAUUUAAAUUAUCGAAUGAAGAAAAAGGACAUUAUUGUGGAAAAUAAAUAGAGAAUUUCAAAAAUAUCUCAGUCCAUAUCGCGAAGGUGUUCUGUUACAGAAGAUGGUAUAACGAUGACUGAAUAAAUAUUUCAAGCAUCAAAUUGUUAUAUCUGAACAAGUACGAUGCGAUUAUUUCUUGAUAUUACGAGAUGAACUUCUCUAAAGCCUGAUAUUCGACGUUCUUUACAAGCAAUGUGGCAAGUCGACGCUAUAUUAGCCCUCAUCGAGAUCCUCUUUCGCAGACGAGAUCAUCAGACGCACCGGUUCACGGUCGUCGCGUACAAACAAUGAUUAUUAAGUUUGAGAUACGGGACUAGAUUGGCUGGGUAAAUUAGGCACAUUAGCCUGUAUGCACAAGGCCGAGAUAGUAACGCUCGUUGUUUCGAGACAGCAUCUUCGUUGCAAGGGAACGAAGAACGGUUGGAACGCGAGUCGCGCGAGAGGAAAAAGGCCAGGAACAAGAAAACUCCAUUACCCCGCUCCUUGCCAAGCAUUCUUGCUGGUGAAAGAUCUUGCUUCAACGAUCGCUAAUUUCUCGUAACAGAAUCCUUUCGACGCCCUUUUAACAUCCACGUCAGGAAAGAUCCUCGGGUUUCCUCGCGUACGCUGCUUUGUGUGAAGGAUAUGAUUGCCAAGAUACGAUCGCUUGAAAUGUUUCCUCAGCGACAUGACAAAAUGAGAAUUAGUUGGAAACACGGAAUUCUCUGUUUUCAUCUCUUCCGAACAACUUCCUGACAAAGUGGCUCGUUCUCAAGUGGAACGCAGUCGACGGCAACGAGUCCGAAAACACGAGGCAAACGUUGUGUCUGGCGAGCGGAAGGCACGCGUCUCCUUUGGCUUCGUAAUCUAAGCGGAGAGCGAACAGUGCCUAAUUCUCGUCCAAUUUCCAGCGUAGGGAAACCGGUUAACGGCACGACGCAACUCGUAGUAUUCGCUGAAACGAGUUUCGAUAAAGUUAACGCCGACCAGUACCGGCGACACUAUGCUCAGACGUUUAGAUAAGUUAACUGUCGCUACGAAUACACGAAUAUCCAUGUAUUAACAUGGAUGUAACAGUGUAUUCGUUUUUCAGCUUCCUUGCACGAUUGAGCUAAUAUCAUUAGAGGAAUUUCAUUAGUUCGAAGUAUUAGCGAAUUCUGUCGCACGAUGCUAAUAAUAAAUUCUUUUAUUUUUACUAUGCAAAAUAUAGCGUUUUGUAUAUAUUAUGUUAUCCAACUUAAUUUAAUAGAAAUAUAUUAACAUACAGAUGCGUUAUUAGUUGAAAAUGUGAAAAUACUAAAUUAGAAAUAGCUUUUGAAAAUAUCAUAUUGAGUAUAAAUUAGUUGGAAUAAAAUGUUCAAUGGAAUUUAUUACGCAAAGGGUAUUGAUAUCAUUUUCUUAAUUAUCGACUAAUCAGCAAAUUUGUUAUUUAUAUUAUUAAAUUAAAGUCAAGUAAAAAUAUUAAGGUUACAUCUAUCGAUCAAUCAUUUUGUUAAGAUCGUUUUGUUAAAAUGCACCAAUAAUGUGAAUUAUUUACCUUGUAACUCGUAAAAUUAUACAAUUAUUUGCACACCAGAAUUCUAUCAGCUACAACGACCAUAUGUACAGUAACUUGUAGAUUCACUGAUAUUAAUAACCACUAAUAUUAUUAUUGAAACAUGUAUAAUUUUAUGUGCUAGACUAGGUUAGAUGCGUAGUAGUGAUACUUGUAUGUGAAUAUCAGUGUGUAGAAGUAUGUGUGUGCGCGGCGUUUCGAAAACAAAUGAAUGUAAAGUGUUCAGUCGGUUAACAGUCCGAUAUGGACGAAAGUGCUGAGACGCGUGCAAGUGUGUAUCGAUGAAUAUCUUUGAAAUCGCUUAUCAAAUAAAUAUAUAACAAUUCUAAUAUGAAUUCUAAGUGUAAAUUUGGUGUUCCUAUACCAUUAUUUUGGCUAUUAAGAUCCAAAAUUUUCAACAAUUAUUGUACAAAAAGGCCCAGCUUCCGACGCUCGUGGCUUGAUCCAUCCCUUCGUGUUAUCCUUGGGUAUGUUUACUCCGCGGAACAGUUGGCUCCGGCAGUGAUAUCCGUCGUCCUAGUCGUCUACGACGCGAAAGCAAACUCAUCACGAUCGUCGUAUGCAAUCUGCCGGAAAGCGAACCUCCCGGCGACUCGCGGAAUUGCUUGCGAUGACGCAAAUUGUGUUGACAGCCCGGGAAAGCCUCUGGCUUCUUUUUUCACCCUGCUAGCCCUUCCGGUACUGC